CGUAGCCGGCCGCACAAGUCCGUCGGGAAAUCCACCCGCCUAACGGGUGGGCGUCCGGCGGAAACUGUGCGGCUUGGGACCGGAAGACCCGAGGGGUACGUCCGGGGUAGGAGUGAAAUCCCGUAAUCCUGGACGGACCGCCGGUGGCGAAAGCGCCUCGGGAAGACGGAUCCGACGGUGAGGGACGAAAGCUAGGGUCUCGAACCGGAUUAGAUACCCGGGUAGUCCUAGCCGUAAACGAUGCUCGCUAGGUGUGGCGCAGGCUACGAGCCUGCGCUGUGCCGUAGGGAAGCCGUGAAGCGAGCCGCCUGGGAAGUACGCCCGCAAGGAUGAAACUUAAAGGAAUUGGCGGGGGAGCACUACAACCGGAGGAGCCUGCGGUUUAAUUGGACUCAACGCCGGACAUCUCACCAGCACCGACAGUAGUCGUGACGGUCAGGUUGAUGACCUUACCCGAGCUACUGAGAGGAGGUGCAUGGCCGCCGUCAGCUCGUACCGUGAGGCGUCCUGUUAAGUCAGGCAACGAGCGAGACCCGCACCCCUAGUUGCCAGCAGCACCCACGUGGUGGCUGGGUACACUAGGGGGACUGCCGCUGCCGAAGCGGAGGAAGGAACGGGCAACGGUAGGUCAGUAUGCCCCGAAUGUGCUGGGCUACACGCGGGCUACAAUGGCCGGGACAAUGGGAUGCGACCCCGAGGGGGGAAGCUAAUCUCCUAAACCCGGUCGUAGUUCGGAUUGAGGGCUGAAACUCGCCCUCAUGAAGCUGGAUUCGGUAGUAA
Molecule: ribosomal RNA, 780 nt
Filed under: uncultured Halobacteria archaeon
Lineage: Archaea; Methanobacteriati; Methanobacteriota; Halobacteria
Description: bacterial SSU rRNA
Rfam family: Archaeal small subunit ribosomal RNA
Source: RNAcentral